GAUGAAGAACGCAGCGAAAUGUGAUACGUAAUGUGAAUUGCAGAAUUCAGUGAAUCAUCGAGUCUUUGAACGCACAUUGCGCCCCCUGGUAUUCCGGGGGGCAUGCCUGUCCGAGCGUCAUUGCUGCCCUCAAGCACGGCUUGUGUGUUGGGCCUCCGUCCUCCUCCCGGGGGACGGGCCCGAAAGGCAGCGGCGGCACCGCGUCCGGUCCUCGAGCGUAUGGGGCUUCGUCACCCGCUCUUGUAGGCCCGGCCGGCGCUUGCCGACACAUCAAUCUUUUUUCCAGGUUGACCUCGGAUCAGGCAGGGAUACCCGCUGAACUUAAGCAUAUCAAUAAGCGGAGGA
Molecule: unclassified non-coding RNA, 345 nt
Filed under: soil metagenome
Description: partial contains 5.8S ribosomal RNA, internal transcribed spacer 2, and large subunit ribosomal RNA
Rfam family: 5.8S ribosomal RNA (bases 1-120)
Source: RNAcentral